GAGAGAGAAAAGGAAAUAAAAAAGCGAAGGAGGGCUGCCAGGUAGCCAGCCAGCUUCCCCUCUCCUCUCUUCCCCCAAUUCGCCCUCAAAUCCGCCGCCCCGCAUUUCCCGAGCCCCCCCCGCAGAUCUGGGACCCGACCCCGCCGGAUCGCCGCGCCGCUGCGGGACUCGCGCGAUCCGAUCCCGCCGCACCCAGCCGCCAAGUUGGCGCCGCAGCGGAGGUCGCAGCGCCUCGCCGGCGGCGGCGCGGGGUCCGCCGCCGCCGCCGCGGGUGCCGGAGGGGCGUCCGCGCAGGCCGCCGACAUGGGGGACUCGAGCGACGCCGUCAUGGCGCGGUGGCUGCAGUCCGCGGGGCUGCAGCACCUCGCGGCUUCGUCGGCGGGCCCCGCCGGGGACCAGCGCGGCGCCGGCGUGGGGGGCCUUGGAGGCGGCGCCGGAGGAGCGGGCAUGCUUCCGAGUCUGCUCAUGCAGUCAGUUGAAGAGAAACAAAGGCUAUAUAUGCUGCUGAGGAACUUGAAUUUUAACGGAGAAUCUUUGCCUGCAUCAGUCUCUGAGCCCUAUACACCAACUGCUCAGAAAUUUGGCAGUGGGACUUCCGCAGAGGGUCUGUAUUCACCUGAACUUAGAGGUGAACUUGGAGCUGGUCUUCUGGAUCUCCAUGCUAUGGAUGACACUGGACUUCUUUCUGAGGAUGUAGAUUCAGAACCAUUUGAGCCUUCACCCUUUAUGCCAAAGGAAAUUGAUGAUGAUGAGGAUGAUAUGAUAACAGGAAACCAGCUAGGUCCAGCUGAUAACUAUAAUGCAGUGACGAGUGAAAAGGAGAUCAAUACUAGAGAAAAUAAUGUAGCGAAGAUCAAAGUUGUGGUAAGAAAGAGGCCCCUGAACAGAAAAGAGUUAUCUCGAAAGGAAGAUGAUGCUGUAGCUGUGCAUGAUUCAUCUUCUUUGACAGUUUAUGAACCUAAGCUGAAGGUCGACUUGACAGCUUAUGUGGAGCAGCAUGAAUUUUGUUUUGACGCUGUCCUGGAUGAGGAUGUUUCUAAUGACGAGGUGUAUCGCGAGACAGUGGAACCCAUUAUACCAAUAAUAUUCCAGAGAACCAAAGCAACAUGUUUUGCUUAUGGACAAACAGGUAGUGGGAAGACAUACACAAUGCAACCUUUGCCUCUGAGGGCUGCUCAAGACAUGAUUCGUCUUUUGAAUCAACCUGUCUACCGGAAUCAAAAUUUUAAGCUGUGGCUCAGCUACUUCGAGAUAUACGGUGGGAAACUCUAUGAUCUUCUAUCAGACAGAAGACACUUACUGAUGAGGGAGGAUGGCAAGAAACAAGUUUGCAUAGUCGGUCUGCAGGAAUUUGAGGUUUCUGAUGUCCAGGUUGUCAGGGAAUAUAUUGAGAGGGGAAAUGCAGCAAGGAGCACAGGGUCUACAGGGGCCAAUGAAGAGUCAUCGAGGUCACAUGCCAUUCUGCAACUGGCUGUGAAGAAGCAUAUUAUAGUAACUGAAACUAGGAGACAAAGGGACAGGGAUGCCAAUGAAGCUAAAAACACGAAGGCAGUGGGAAAAAUAUCUUUUAUUGAUCUUGCUGGAAGCGAACGUGGCGCUGAUACAACAGAUAAUGAUAGGCAGACAAGAAUUGAAGGUGCAGAGAUAAACAAGAGCCUCCUUGCUCUGAAGGAAUGCAUCCGGGCCCUUGACAAUGAUCAGAUACACAUUCCUUUCAGAGGAAGCAAGCUCACAGAGGUUCUCCGUGACUCAUUUGUUGGCAACUCUAGGACGGUGAUGAUUUCUUGCAUUUCUCCCAAUGCAGGUUCAUGUGAACACACGUUAAAUACAUUGAGAUAUGCCGAUAGGGUUAAAAGUCUUUCAAAGGGUGGCAACACAAGAAAGGAGCAGUCUACUGCACCAACUAUUCCUUCCAUGAGGGAGUCUUCAUCUGCUCCAUCCUAUCCUUUAUCUGUUGAGGCCGAAGAAGUACCCAACCAGAUCCAGGAGAAGAGACCUGUCGAUAUAUCUAGGAGAGGCGCUGAAAAUUUUACCUCCAACUCUUCGAUGGAGCCUGACAGGAAUAACUUUAGUAUGAUCCCAAGUUAUUCUAAUAGAGGAAAAGAGGAAAACGGUGCAUCUGGUUUGAAUGAUAGGGAGAGGGUUGAUUUUAGUUCUGGCCGAACUGUUUACAACAGUAAAGCACAGUUAAUUCAGAAUUCAGCAAAUGCACAAGAGGAUGAAAAGGUUACCAGAGUCUCACCUCCCAGGAGGAAGGUCAUAAGGGAAGACAAAUCUGAAAAGCAGAACUACAUGAAAAAGGAUAGUGGAAUUGAGGCAAGUCGGCCUGGAUAUAAGGUUCAGCAGGUAAGGCAGUUGCAACAGCAGCAACGACCAACAUCUGCUUCAGCUUCUCAGGUUUCGUCAAGGCAAUCUGAAAAAGAAAGUUCAUGCGAUGAUGUGGAGAUAGAUGCCAUUCUUGAGGAAGAGGAGGCCCUCAUUGCAGCUCACAGGAAGGAAAUCGAGAAUACAAUGGAGAUCGUGCGCGAAGAGAUGAACCUUUUGGCAGAAGUUGACCAACCAGGCAGCCUUAUUGACGACUAUGUGACACAAUUGAGCUUUCUUCUGUCACGCAAGGCUGCAGGCUUGGUCAGCCUCCAAGCGCGCCUUUCAAGGUUUCAACAGCGCCUCAAAGAGCAGGAGAUCCUUAGCCGUAAGAAAUCAUCCAGAUAGCUGGUCAUCGCUCAUUGACUCCGGCCUUUUGCCUGCUCAGUAAAUUUACAGGAGCUUGACCGCAUUUCUUGAGAUGUUUCUCUUCUGUGGUCUCCUGUAAUGUUGGACCUGAGCAAGGAGCUAAAGAAGACACCGCAUUGGCUCAGGACUGGGUGAGUUGACUGGUUGAUGCCAUUUCGUACUCGGUUGUCAGGUUUGAUCACUAGUUUGUGAGUAGUCCUCCUCACAGUUUGGCUGCACGGGCUUGUUUUUUUUCCGGCAGAUACAUGGCUUGCUCUCAAUGCCGUUUUCCUUUGUAUGAGGAGACGUCCGACGUAACUGUUUGCAGAUAUGGAUGGGUUGAUUUUUGGCAGCGGCUCCUGUACUAUUGUGGACACACAUACAUUAUUGUUGUAUUCUUUACUGAUAUUGUUUUCGUCGACAAAUGAAAAUGUGUGUUUGUGUGUGUGUGGCAAGGACUUGAAAGUUUUCUCCCCAUUGUGCCCAGUGAAAAUUUCAGACAGGUAUGAUUAUGAAUGUUUGUGACUAGUGAUCUGCGAAGUGUGCACAACUGAAUUUGAGUUGUCAUUUGUGUUCUUGUGAGUUAGCGCAUCACAAAAUAAUGCUGUUGUAUCUGGCUUUGUACAUUAGAUCU
RNAcentral lists this ribosomal RNA (3346 nucleotides) under Triticum aestivum (bread wheat). Its description in RNAcentral is "partial small subunit ribosomal RNA". Lineage: Eukaryota; Viridiplantae; Streptophyta; Magnoliopsida; Poales; Poaceae. The record is from RNAcentral.